This 492-nucleotide ribosomal RNA is filed under the name uncultured bacterium. RNAcentral's name for it is "partial 16S ribosomal RNA". It matches the Rfam family "Bacterial small subunit ribosomal RNA", at positions 29 to 507 of the family's 1533-position model. The record is from RNAcentral.
AGUGAACGCUGGCGGUAGGCCUAACACAUGCAAGUCGAACGGCAGCACAGUAAGAGCUUGCUCUUACGGGUGGCGAGUGGCGGACGGGUGAGGAAUACAUCGGAAUCUACUUUUUCGUGGGGGAUAACGUAGGGAAACUUACGCUAAUACCGCAUACGACCUACGGGUGAAAGCAGGGGAUCUUCGGACCUUGCGCGAUUGAACGAGCCGAUGUCGGAUUAGCUAGUUGGCGGGGUAAAGGCCCACCAAGGCGACGAUCCGUAGCUGGUCUGAGAGGAGGAUCAGCCACACUGGAACUGGGACACGGUCCAGACUCCUACGGGAGGCAGCAGUGGGGAAUAUUGGACAAUGGGCGCAAGCCUGAUCCAGCCAUACCGCGUGGGUGAAGAAGGCCUUCGGGUUGUAAAGCCCUUUUGUUGGGAAAGAAAAGCAGCAGGUUAAUACCCCGCUGUUCUGACGGUACCCAAAGAAUAAGCACCGGCUAACUUCGUG